Long non-coding RNA from Ictalurus punctatus (channel catfish), 3699 nucleotides. RefSeq lists it as uncharacterized. The record is from RefSeq and is a predicted model, not a curated record. Lineage: Eukaryota; Metazoa; Chordata; Actinopteri; Siluriformes; Ictaluridae. The transcript has 4 exons.
CACUUCUCAUGCACGCAUGCGCUCACCAUCCCCAGAGUUCUGAUCACACGCACACACACACACACACACUCUCUCUCACCGCUAGUACUUAGGGAUGCCAUUCACCUAGCGUCAAUGUAAAGUAUACGUUCAGUCAACUCGUUUCUCUGCGUUACCAAGCCGUUCUAGUUAGUUUGUCUUCUCGUGAUCCUCGACCCUUGUUUCCGGUUUCGACUACGCUCUCUGCCUGACCCUGUUUGUGGUGUUCGUCCGAUCGCUUGACCUUUGCCUAUCUUAUGACUACGUUUCUUGAACUUCCUGAUACCACGCUCUACACCUGCCGCCCACUCCUGCUCCCGUGCCAAUUCGAGAUGUGUGUUUUGUACUGAGCUGAGUGUGUGGAGCUUCUAUCACUGAUACCAACAUCCACUUUACACAGCUCAGAUUCAACAACCUGCACAAAAGCUUAGGAAUGGAUUGACAUAUUAUUAACGAUGGAUUAAGUGUAUACAGCAUGAACUUCCAGUAAAAUGCCUAUCCAAGGCACACCCAAAACUAAAUGAAAACUGUUUUUGAACCAUUUGGAGUACAUGCAUGGUUUUUGUCUCUUUUGAAUGGGGACACUCUGAAGUUUUGUCUCCAUAAGUCAGAAUCACAGUAAGUAUUGGUACUGAGUAAUAGAGGUUUGAACACCCUGAAACAAAAGGGAGCUGAGAACUAUUAGUUGGAAAACACAAUGAACACAGCAUGAAGCCUUUCCUAGUCCAAGUUCAAAUUGGUUAACAAUACCAAAUAAAAUUAAUAUUUUACACAUGUUUUUAUAAGGGUAUGUCCAUGUGUUUUUCAAACCUUUUGGAGACUCCAAAGGGCCCAUGGAAACCAUGUACACAUAAGUAGGAUAAAAAGGCUGCUACUCUUUAUUUUUCUUAUAAUUAUUAUAUCACAUAUCCAGCAAUCUACAAAAUGUAUAUUUAUAUGUAUUUUCAUAUGUACAUUGAUAAUUGAAUCCUUUGUGAACUUUUAUGUGCUCAUGUGCCAUUGUUUACAGAGCUUGUUCUGCAGGGACUUUUAAGCUGAAGUGUUGAAACACACCCGUGAAGCAACAUAUCAUUCUUUUCAGCAGUUCACUGGCUACAUAAUCUAUAAGUUAUCGCCACAUCUGCCAUUACGCAGCUCACAGUUUUCACAUGAAUGAAUGAAUGAAUGAAUGCCUUUUAUUGUCACUAUACACAUGUACAAUGAGACAUAGGAAACAUAGGAAAGGGGUAAGGAGCUUGCUGAAGCACAGACUCUCACUGGAGUGUGAAGCCUGGAGACAGGAUAUAGAAUAGAAGCUCCUUUGGUUCAAAUGAGGUGUCAUUCGAUAGGUCUGAGCCCAGAGGCCAUUUUGAGCUCUGGCAUUUAGGUGUGUUCACUUACGCACUGCGUAGAGAAGGAGAACCAGGAGGUCUUCUGAGAUGAUUUGGAACGACGCAGCAGCAGUUCUUGUGGAUUUAUUGAUGUAAAAUGUGUUUUGGACUAAAUAUAUUUUUACAUAAUUGGAUUGUUUGGACCAUUGGCAGUGUAACAAAACUGUUAUGGUCAGGAUGUUAUUGUUCAGUAGACUGCUAUCUGGCUUCAAAGCCGUCUCUCUGGACUUACCAUACUCUCGAGUGAGAAUGCCUGGGCCCACCAACUGGAUCUUAAGUAUUUGAUCGAAAACUUCGCCCAGAGGAAAGCCCAGAAAUUGCCGCUAUGAUUCAUCUCUUUGCUGCUAUUGUGCCCUGCGAUGGACUGGCACCCUGUCCAGGGUGUACCCCGCCUUGUGUCCGAUGCUCCCUGGGAUACGCUCCAGGUUCCCCCGUGACCCUGAAGAAAGAGUAAGCGGUAGAAGAUGGAUUGAUGGAUGGAUCUCUUUGCUGCUGUAAAAUAUGUAUGAUAGACUAUGUCGUUGAAUAUUGACAUUCUGUCACCACGCUCUGCUUAGGGGGCCCGCCUUGACACUCCUGCAUUGGGGCCCGGUGUUGGCUCAUUACGCCAUUGCCUGCUGUAAAAUUUUCCAUUAAUCAAGUUUUAAUACAGACACAUCCAGAUAAAAGAGUGGAUCAUAGGUUUCAGCUGAGAGGUCACUGAGGCUGAUUAGUAGCAGGAGAGUGGGAUUUUCAUGGUGAGUGUUGAUGAGACUCAACUGCUCCACUCAGCUCAGCUGCACAUAAAUACUGCAUGGACACACAGCACUCUGGAUUGCAUCAUGACAUCAUGAUCAGGAAAGAGAACAGGGGGCAGUGAUACUGUUUGUAAGAGACCUGUGAUCAUCAUACUGGGAUUUUGUCAGAAACGAAGGCACUAUGAGACACAGUACAUCCUUUCUAUGUAAAAAUGUCUGCGUUACUUGGGUUUUUUUCCUUAUUUAUCAUGCAUUUCAUGAUGAAGUAGUAAAGUAUUUUAUUCCCUUCAUACCACAGCAGCUUGAAUUAUUGCAUUUUCUAUUUAGUAAAUGUCGCAUUAUACUUUUUUCAGUUUAUAGUUACAUUUAAUGAUAAAUUUGUACCUGUUAUUUCUUGUUGUAGUAUAAAUAGUCACUCCAUCACCAUCCUCAUCUUUAAAAAUAAAAAGGGUAGCACGUCACGUCACUGAAAAACUGGAAAGCAUAAAAUAAUCUGUCCUGACGACUUUGUUGUGAUCGCAAGAACUGUAAAAAUAAUGACAUAGCAGAAUGUGCACAUUAAUAAAAACCUAUGAUUUGCAGCUGGCGCUACUGUCACAGCUGCCAGUAUAGACAAUGAAAUAACUUCUAACCAAACAGAUUUGAGAGCAGCACUGUGGUAUAGUGUAGUACCAGAACCUACAGUAGGCAUCGUAGCAUAUUAGCUACACUGUAGUAGUAAUUGUAGGAUUAAUGUUCUGUACAUUUUCUUAAGCUAUUUGUGUGAAGGAGUACUUUGGGCAUUCAGGGUUUAUUUAUAUAAUUUUAUUCCCUGCCUUUACACCAUAAUAUUGCGAGUUUAUAUUUUAACAUUGUCUGCCCACUGUAUUCAGGAAGACAGACGUAUAUCAAAUUCAGGAACUGAACUUUUUGUACAUCCUUGUCAUCUGUUUGUGUCACUGUGUUUUCGGGCACAGUGAUACACAGCUGUGUCUUCUACAGUCAGGCCAGACAACUUGAAGUAUGAAAUGCCUUUACUGUUAUCUUUUGUUAUUUCAAUUCUUCCUUCAAGACUUUUACUGUAGAAUGUUUCUCCACUUGCAGUAUUGAUGUGCCCAAUCCACUGUAAGGGCUUUCCACGAGGCUGUCGUAUCCAGCUCAUGCCAUAAUCUCCAAAAUUAUAUCCUAUAGCCUUACAAGAGAGGCUGACAGUUCCACCAGGAUUACUCAGUACUGCAUGACUAGGAAUAGACUCCAAACUCUGGCCUUUCACUGCUAGUAGAGAGAGGUUAUGAACAAAAGACAAUUAAAAUAUCAGCAUUGAAACUGUACUUUUUUUUAAUCAACAGAACAACUCACAGUGGACACACAGGCUGAUUAGAGCACGAAUGAGGAGAGUGGGAGCUUCCUGGUGAGCGUUGAUUAGAAUCGACUGCUCCGCUCAGCUCGGCUGCACAUAAAUACUACAUCGACACACAUUUGCAUCGUGAUGACAUACUCAUGGAGAGAAGUGAACAAGUCAUUUUCUCAGGAAUAAAGGCAUUAUGAAAUACAGCAAAUGGAGAAAUGUUUAUAGAAACUGUUUCAUUACUUUA